Molecule: transfer RNA, 75 nt
Filed under: Candidatus Yanofskybacteria bacterium RIFCSPLOWO2_01_FULL_41_34
Lineage: Bacteria; Candidatus Yanofskyibacteriota
Description: tRNA-Gly
Rfam family: tRNA
About the family: Transfer RNA (tRNA) molecules are approximately 80 nucleotides in length.
Source: RNAcentral
GCGGGUAUCGUAUAGCGGCUAUUAUAGAACCUUGCCAAGGUUCAGAUACGGGUUCGACUCCCGUUACCCGCUCAA